ACGGGAGGCAGCAGUAGGGAAUCUUCCACAAUGGGCGAAAGCCUGAUGGAGCAACGCCGCGUGAGUGAAGAAGGAUUUCGGUCCAUAAAACUCUGUUGUAAGGGAAGAACAAGUACAGUAGUAACUGGCUGUACCUUGACGGUACCUUAUUAGAAAGCCACGGCUAACUACGUGCCAGCAGCCGCGGUAAUACGUAGGUGGCAAGCGUUGUCCGGAAUUAUUGGGCGUAAAGCGCGCGCAGGUGGUUUCUUAAGUCUGAUGUGAAAGCCCACGGCUCAACCGUGGAGGGUCAUUGGAAACUGGGAGACUUGAGUGCAGAAGAGGAUAGUGGAAUUCCAAGUGUAGCGGUGAAGUGCGUAGAGAUUUGGAGGAACACCAGUGGCGAAGGCGACUAUCUGGUCUGUAACUGACACUGAGGCGCGAAAGCGUGGGGAGCAAACAGGAUUAGAUACCCUGGUAGUCCACGCCGUAAACGAUGAGUGCUAAGUGUUAGGGGGUUUCCGCCCCUUAGUGCUGCAGCUAACGCAUUAAGCACUCCGCCUGGGGAGUACGGUCGCAAGACUGAAACUCAAAGGAAUUGAC
RNAcentral lists this ribosomal RNA (582 nucleotides) under uncultured bacterium. RNAcentral describes it as "bacterial SSU rRNA". It matches the Rfam family "Bacterial small subunit ribosomal RNA", at positions 341 to 914 of the family's 1533-position model. The record is from RNAcentral.